RNAcentral lists this ribosomal RNA (253 nucleotides) under uncultured bacterium. RNAcentral's name for it is "partial 16S ribosomal RNA". It matches the Rfam family "Bacterial small subunit ribosomal RNA", at positions 524 to 776 of the family's 1533-position model. The record is from RNAcentral.
GACGUAGGGCGCGAGCGUUGUCCGGAUUUAUUGGGCGUAAAGAGCUUGUAGGCGGUCAGUCGCGUCUGCUGUGAAAACUCGGGGCUUAACUCCGGGCCUGCAGUGGGUACGGGCUGACUAGAGUGCGGUAGGGGAGACUGGAAUUCCUGGUGUAGCGGUGAAAUGCGCAGAUAUCAGGAGGAACACCGGUGGCGAAGGCGGGUCUCUGGGCCGAUACUGACGCUGAGGAGCGAAAGCGUGGGGAGCGAACAGG